UGGUCCUAUCCAAUGAAGCUGCUCUCUGUGCCCAGAGUCAGCCUGAUUGUUUACUGAAGGUUCAUAUAGCCUACAUAGGCAAUGGAGGCACUUGUGAGCCAGCACAUGUAUAAAUUGCUUAAUCAUGAGCCAGCACAUAUUAUAUAUUGCAUAAUCAUAGAACGCACUAGAAUGAAACUAUACUGCCUUCAACAAUGUAUGACACGACUAUACUAGCUGAUAUGGUAUCACUUUAGUACAGUUGUGUAGCCUCUGAACAUUGAUCUGACAGUGGCCUACUUUAACCAACGUACUGAGAAUCACAAUAAAUUGCUAACUUGAUGAACUGCUUGUCGUGGGAAGAGGGAAGCCAGUGGAGAGUGCCUUCAUUAUCAACAACGUAUAGACACUGAGGCUAUUAAGUCUAUCACCUAAAUGGCACAAACUUUGAAAGGUGCAACUGGCACCCUUUCAUCCUACCAGCAGUGAAUGUAACUGCAUGCUCAUCUCCCACCCCUUGAUUUGAAUAUCCUUACUCUUCGCAUUUAACACAAUGGAAGAUAAUAGAGUUUUCACAGCUGGUAAAUCUUUGCUGCCCAAUAAAGCCCAGUGUAAACUGCAAAAUCUGGAGAAAAAAAACUAGCCAGAGUGACUGUGUUACCCAAGCUAGCGAGGCAUAGGAUACAACAUUUAGCAUUUUCUGCAGUUAUUUGGUAAAUGUGCAAUCAAAUCAUUCAAACUCCUUAACCUUUUAUGUGUUGAUAAUGUUACUACUGUCCACCAGUAGUAACACAGUGAUCGAUUACUCCAGGAAACUGUCAUGCCACUUCCACUUAAAAAAAACAAAAAACUUUUCUCAGACAUAAGGUCAGUGUUGUGUUGCUAAUUGCCCCCUCCCUUUCUAUCUCUACCUGUCAACCUGGCCGGUUCCAAGCAGAUAGGGCCCCCUCCUUACGAGCAGUGGUUCUGCUCAAGGUUUCUUUCUGUUAACAGGGAGUUUCCUCUUGCCCCUCUCGCAUUUGUGCUUGCUCCAGGGGGUUCAAGCUCUGGGUUCUGUAAAGCGCCUUAUAACUAUUUUAUUGUUUUGGCGCUAUGUAAAUACAAUUUAAUUGCAUCAUUAAAGAGUAGUGUUGCAAUAUGAUGAACCUCUAAUGCUUAAUGAAGCCCAUGAGAAAGAUGAGAAAAUUAAGUACUUCUCUAAGUUAUCAAUUUAUGCACCACCACAACUGCAGCUCUGAAAAAUACUUAAGCUAGCCAUUUACGUUUUACAAGGAUGGAUGCCUUGCAGACCAUGGCAUCCCGGAGGUGUUACAUAGUAUACAGAAAUAUGAGAAAUAUGUAUGAAACGGACGUUACAAUAUUCUAUUUUUUCUGCCACUAUUGCAUCUGCUUGUAUGUAGCCAGAGCCAUGAGGUAACGUUAGCCAAUUCUCUGUAAGGCAACCUUGUUUUAGAAUCUGGCAUUGUUCGUUUGAUUUUUUUUAUUUGGAAAGGCGCUGUUACUUGUCACGACAGGCUAGCAGGUGUAAAUGAAAGGGACGUGCAGUGCAAUUAACCAAUCCGCCAUUGGGUACUAAGUUUUAGCGUUUCAGUCCCACCUGGCUGAAACCUAAACCAGGUAGCUAACUAUCCUUGGUAACGUAUAGCGACCGUCGGUACCCUGAGCCAACUGUGGUAGGGUCCAACUUCAUGACAAACUUACUAGUAUAGCCUACUGUUUAUCAAGAGACUUUGCGUCAGCCCAUGUAGACAUACUUCAAAAAUGUCGUUAGUCACGUUUAAGACAUGUGUUUUCACUGAGCCGUAUCGUGUCAGGAAGUCGAAUGAAUAUCGAUGCUAGUUCCCGACCAUUAAAACGCGCCGAUAGUGGUACGGAUCGUGGCGUUACAAACCUACUUGCACAAAAAUGAUGUCUGAAUUGACUGAAGCAUUACUGGGAUUCGAAAUGUGUUUCGCCCGAUUACAAGUUACAUGUUCUGUGUUCUUUUAGUCAUAAUUUGACGUCACAUGCCAUACACAGUAGCCUGCUAACUCCAGACCUCUAAACCCCGAGUGUCGCAUCGCCGCACCGGGCUGUCCCCGUAUCUCCUCUGCGGCUCGGACUGCACUGAUGCCCGGAGGAUCAGUUUUGGGCCCCACAAGGAUCAUCUUCGCCUCCUGAGCCUGUCUGUUCUGAUUCUGCUUUAACCUCCAGCAGUACCUCUAGGA
Long non-coding RNA from Clupea harengus (Atlantic herring), 2186 nucleotides. The record is from Ensembl. NCBI's taxonomy places the organism in Eukaryota, Metazoa, Chordata, Actinopteri, Clupeiformes, Clupeidae.